AUUGAACGCUGGCGGCAGGCUUAACACAUGCAAGUCGAGCGGGGUGAUGGUGCUUGCACUAUCACUUAGCGGCGGACGGGUGAGUAAUGCUUAGGAAUCUGCCUAUUAGUGGGGGACAACAUCUCGAAAGGGAUGCUAAUACCGCAUACGUCCUACGGGAGAAAGCAGGGGAUCACUUGUGACCUUGCGCUAAUAGAUGAGCCUAAGUCGGAUUAGCUAGUUGGUGGGGUAAAGGCCUACCAAGGUGACGAUCUGUAGCGGGUCUGAGAGGAUGAUCCGCCACACUGGGACUGAGACACGGCCCAGACUCCUACGGGAGGCAGCAGUGGGGAAUAUUGGACAACGGGGGGAACCCUGAUCCAGCCAUGCCGCGUGUGUGAAGAAGGCCUUAUGGUUGUAAAGCACUUUAAGCGAGGAGGGGGCUAAUCUAGUUAAUACCUAGGGAUAGUGGACGUUACUCGCAGAAUAAGCACCGGCUAACUCUGUGCCAGCAGCCGCAGUAA
This 503-nucleotide ribosomal RNA is filed under the name uncultured bacterium. Its description in RNAcentral is "partial 16S ribosomal RNA". It matches the Rfam family "Bacterial small subunit ribosomal RNA", at positions 30 to 523 of the family's 1533-position model. The record is from RNAcentral.